GAGGCGGUGACUGGGAGCACCCGGGGCAAGGUGGGUGUGGGCCGAGCAGUGGCUAGCGCCCGUCUGCCCCUCGCUGGACCUUCGCCCAGCUGGUUUGAGCGACCCUCGGGCUGCCUGGAACACGCCCUCCUGCCGGUACGCCCGGGGGUCCCUGGGUGCUCCCUGCGAGCCCCUGGAGGAGCGCAGCCGCCGAGACGCGCGCGUUUGGGGAGCCCCGGGAACGCGCCGGACCUCGUGUGUGUCGCGAACGUUUGUCCAGCGCCCUGUGGGAAGGUCAACGAGACGCAGUUCGAAUGGUGACAGUGGUUGUUCCGAGCGCUAUCAGAGGUCCCUGCGCGGACAAGUGGCAGGCGGCUUUCGGCCUCGUGGUCUGCCAAGGCCAGGCAAGGGACGCGCACCUCCUCGGCGUUGCCCAGCCGGCGCAGGAGAUGGGCUGUUCCCGUCGGUCUCACUAGGGAGUUGCAGGGUUAGGCCUGUCUUUC
Molecule: long non-coding RNA, 482 nt
Filed under: Marmota monax (woodchuck)
Lineage: Eukaryota; Metazoa; Chordata; Mammalia; Rodentia; Sciuridae
Source: RNAcentral